RNAcentral lists this ribosomal RNA (223 nucleotides) under uncultured bacterium. RNAcentral describes it as "partial 16S ribosomal RNA". It matches the Rfam family "Bacterial small subunit ribosomal RNA", at positions 109 to 334 of the family's 1533-position model. The record is from RNAcentral.
AGUAUAUAUCGGAACGUGCCCAGUCGUGGGGGAUAACGUAGUGAAAAUUACGCUAAUACCGCAUACGAUCUAAGGAUGAAAGCGGGGGACUCGCAAGAGCCUCGCGCGAUUGGAGCGGCCGAUAUCAGAUUAGGUAGUUGGUGAGGUAAAGGCUCACCAAGCCAACGAUCUGUAGCUGGUCUGAGAGGACGACCAGCCACACUGGAACUGAGACACGGUCCAG